GACAGACAAUGAGGGGUGGAGAGAGAGAAGGAGGCACAGAAUCUGAAGCGGGCUCCAGGCUCUGAGCUGUCAGCACAGAGCCCGACAUGGGGCUUGAACUCAUGAACUGUGAGAUCAUGACCUGAGCUGAAGUCAGAUGCUUAACUGACUGAGGCACCCAGGUGCCCCAUAAACUGUCUCUACAAUUUUUGAGAGCCUGCUGUAACUAGGCAUUGUGUUAAAUGCUUUACAUCUAUUAUAGUGUGUCUCAAUUGUUCAUCUGUCCUUUUUUUAUUUAAAAAAUUUUUCUUUAAUGUUUAUUCAUUUUUGAAAGAGAGAGAGAAAGAGCACAAGUGGGGUAGGGGCAGAGAGAGAGAGGAAAACACAGAAUCUCACUGAAGCAGGCUCUAGGCUCUGAGCCAUCAGCACAGAGCCCAACGUGGGGCUCGAACCCAUGAACUGUGAGAUCAUUACCUGAGGUGGAAUUGAAGGUUUAACUGACCGAGCCACCCAAACACCCCUGAUCUGUCCUUCUACUAAUGCUUCCUAGUGGGUGUUCCACUGAACACUAGUCCUCUGAGAUGUUCUACAAAACGAAAGUUUCUUGGCUAAAUAAAUUUGGCGAUACCUUCAUACUCUCUUGCCUCUUGGAGAUUUUCAGAAACACAAUGUGUCUGUACUAAUACACUGAGAUUAUUCGAUGUUACUGGGUUUGCUAAUAAUCUUAGAAAUUGUUUUCUCUCCUUUUAGUUAGUUUAUAGCUAAUAACUGAGAAGAUCAAUACAUUUAAAAAGAAAACAGAACUUGCUGAUGAAGUAUCCAUUUGGGAGCAGAAGGGAUCAUUACCCUUUCAAAGAUUUUUUCUGAUUUCAUUUUGGUUAUUUGUACCUCUGGUAGUGUAUCCUACUGACCUAUUUCAUGUGUUCUAUAAACAGUUCUAGUUCAAGACAAGCUUCACAAAUGUCAAGCACUGUCUGUUUAUUUGUGGAAGGAAUCACACAUUAAAAGAUAGUUUUGUCUAUCACUAUGCUAUUUGUGAAUUCUAAUCCUUUAUCAUAUGUUUUAUAGAUCAAUGAAUCAAAGAAAUGUCUUUAAGAAACUAAGAGAAAUUAAGUUUCUUUCUGAUGAAGCUCUUAAAUUAAAGGAGGACAUCAAAACAGUUGAAUAUUUUAAUGAAAUUUUAAAUGACAGUCUUCAAAGUGCACGUGCUACCUUGCGAUCUGAGAGAGAGAAGAAUGUCAAGAAUAAGGACUUGUCACAAGAUGGAAAUGGUGAAUUCGAGGAUUGAGAGCUGAGAACCUUGAGGUCCAAUAACUGUGAACUGGAAGAAAAUAAAAAGGCCUUAGAAGACAAGUGUAAUGCAUUGAGGUCUGUGAAAGCAAUCAAGGAAGCAAAAGUCAAACAGCUGAAGGAGAAAGCACAUAUCCUUGAAGAAUUCUAUAAACAAAGAAGAGUGGCUGCAGAAGAGAAACUGAAAAUGGCACAAUGUGAACUGGUGGCAAUUGAGAAUCAACUGGAAGCUACAGAGGAAAAUUUGAAAAUAGCUAACGAGGAAAUAUACAAGUACAAGUGAGUUCAGAUACUAAUUAGCAGUGGCUCAUGAAACCCCUGUCCAUUUCUUGUUUUUCACAUUUGUACAAAUUUAGACUCAAUUAACAAGUAAUAUAAAUACAUAUUCAGAGGACAUAUCCAUAGAGAAUGAACAGAUAGAAAAAUAUAAGAUUUAGAAAGAACAAAAAACAGUCAAGUUACUAAACAUUUCCAGAACUCCAGUAUUGGCCUGACCAUGUGGAAACUUCAUCCAUGCCAACAUUCCUCAGGGGUGGUGUCAACUCUCAUAAUCUAUAGGAAACCAGUGUGUGGUAGGAUGAAUUAUACCCAUCAACAUGGUAGUGCCAUUUGAUGGCCCUGGUUUCUGGGAAAUAUGGUGAAAAUAUAUGUUAAGGGACAAAGAGCUUUAUGAUGAAAGACACUUGUCACAUGAUGAAUUAGGGAAAGAUUAAAAAUGGGAAGGAAUUCUAUGAACUCUGAACCCUACAGGCAUGGAAUAAUGAGUAAGGAAAGGAUGUAACAAUAGCUUUGAUCCUACUGUACAUUUAUAAUCAUGUAAGAAUAAAUUGUAUCAGGGGACAGAUACGAGGUUGAUGGCAACGUGGGCAGAUUAUUUAAAAUCAUACCCAAUAUUGGGCCUUAUCUGACAAAAGCAAUUGUAACUCACAGGCAGCAAAUUGAGCAAACACAAGAACAGCUGUAGCAGGCAGAGCUCACCUUCAGACACCAGAUUGCAGUUCAUGAGAAGAAUGCUCAGCACAACUGGAUCAAGACUCAGAUCUGGGACAGGGAGAUGGCAGAGCAGAGCAGGGAGGUCGCCCACUUGAAACAGGUGUGGGAGCUUGACAUGUGGUUUUAUGGGUGUUUCAAGGGAUGACAGCUGUGCUGUUGUGUAUCUGUGGUGUUCUAACUCUUUAGAAGUCCAUUCUUUUUCUGUAUCCAAGACUGGAUGUUAUGGAAGGAAAGAGGCUGCCUGAGGGACACAUGAGGCAGAAACCAAUGCCUGGAAGACCAGAGACGGCAGAACCGUCCAGGGAGAGGUAAGGAGCACAUUGUGACAUGCACUGGCCUAAUUUCUGCUGCAAAGCCUGUUCCUGUCGGUGAUCAUUGUGUGGCCUGGACAGAACCACAAGCACUACCUAAGGAUAGCAGGUGGCCUGAAGGGGUGACAGGAGGGUGUUCUCCUCUGGUGCCCUAGCAGCACUGCUAAAUUUCUGUAGUUUUCCUUUUCUCAUUAGUAUAAGAUUAGUCUAAGUACAUUUCUAGUCAGACAUAGUUAUAUAAUAACUGCUCACAUGUGGAAGGCAGCUUACAUAUAAGCUGAAGGAUUGAACAAUCCACCUAGAGCCAGAAGAAACACACACAUUCUCUUCCGUUGAGGGUUCUUUGAUGUUAUCCGCCAAUCGAUACUCUCAUUUGUAUUCUUUUUUUUAGUUAAAUUUUUAAUGUUUAUUUACUUUGGAGAGAGAGA
Molecule: long non-coding RNA, 3001 nt
Organism: Panthera uncia (snow leopard)
Lineage: Eukaryota; Metazoa; Chordata; Mammalia; Carnivora; Felidae
Exons: 7
Source: RefSeq, a predicted model, not a curated record